UUGAACGCUGGCGGCAUGCUUUACACAUGCAAGUCGAACGGUAACAGGGAGCUUGCUCCGCUGACGAGUGGCGAACGGGUGAGUAAUGCAUCGGAACGUACCCAGUCGUGGGGGAUAACGUAGCGAAAGUUACGCUAAUACCGCAUACGUCCUGAGGGAGAAAGCGGGGGACCGUAAGGCCUCGCGCGAUUGGAGCGGCCGAUGUCGGAUUAGCUAGUUGGUGGGGUAAAGGCCUACCAAGGCGACGAUCCGUAGCGGGUCUGAGAGGAUGAUCCGUCACACUGGAACUGAGACACGGUCCAGACUCCUACGGGAGGCAGCAGUGGGGAAUUUUGGACAAUGGGGGCAACCCUGAUCCAGCCAUUCCGCGUGAGUGAAGAAGGCCUUCGGGUUGUAAAGCUCUUUCAGCCGGAACGAAACGGUACGCUCUAACAUAGCGUGCUAAUGACGGUACCGGCAGAAGAAGCACCGGCUAACUACGU
This 482-nucleotide ribosomal RNA is filed under the name uncultured bacterium. Its description in RNAcentral is "bacterial SSU rRNA". It matches the Rfam family "Bacterial small subunit ribosomal RNA", at positions 30 to 506 of the family's 1533-position model. The record is from RNAcentral.